RNAcentral lists this unclassified non-coding RNA (1741 nucleotides) under Hevea brasiliensis (rubber tree). The record is from RNAcentral. Lineage: Eukaryota; Viridiplantae; Streptophyta; Magnoliopsida; Malpighiales; Euphorbiaceae.
CCAACAUCCACACCAUUUCAAAGCCGGGGCUAUGAAUGCCUUGAUUAGAGUGUCAUCAAAGAUCAGCAAUGGACCGAUUAUUCUCAAUCUAGAUUGUGAUAUGUACUCAAAUAAUUCAUUAUCUAUCCAGGAUGCACUCUGCUUCUUCAUGGAUAAAGAGAAAAGCCAUGACAUUGCUUUUGUGCAAUAUCCACAGCACUUUGGAAAUCUUACGAAGAAUGAUAUAUAUAGCAACUCAUUACGAGUUGGUUUCAAUGUGGAAUUCCAUGGUCUGGAUGGUUAUGAAGGCCCUCUAUACAUUGGAACUGGCUGCUUUCAUAGGAGAGAUGCUCUCUGUGGAAGGAAAUUCACUAAAGAUUUCAAGUUUCAAUGGAAGAAAGAUGAUGAAAAUAAGAUACAAAAGACUAUGCAAGAAUUAGAAGAAGAAACAAAACCUCUUGCAAGCUGUACUUACGAGCAAAACACUGAAUGGGGAAAUGAGGUGGUGUAUGUCCUCUCUCUCUAUUUUUAACUUCUCCUUUGAACUUGGAAAAAACGAAUCUGUGACUCCAUUUUAUUAUAACUAGAUGUUUGAUUGCAGAUAGGACUUAAAUAUGGGUGUCUAGUGGAAGAUGUGAUUACAGGGUUGUUAACCCAAUGCAAAGGAUGGAAAUCAGUUUACCUCAACCCUGAAAGGAAGGCAUUCUUAGGUGUUGCGCCAAUCACCUUGUCUCAGACACUAGUGCAGCAAAAGAGAUGGUCUGAAGGUCAUCUCCAGAUUUUACUCUCUAAGUAUAGCCCUGCAUGGUAUGCGCAUGCAAAGAUUAGCCUUGGGCUACAACUGGGAUAUAUCUGCUAUAAUAUCUGGUCUGUAAACUGCUUGGCAACCCUGUAUUACUCCAUCAUUCCCUCGCUUUAUCUCCUGAAAGGCAUAUCCUUGUAUCCACAGGUCUCAGAUCCAUGGUUUUGGUCAUUUGCCUAUGUGAUAUCUGCAAAGUACAUUUAUAGCCUUGUUGAAUUCUUGUGUUCUGGCGGCACAAUCCUUGGGUGGUGGAAUGAACAACGAAUAUGGCUAUACAAAAGAACAACCUCCUACCUUUUUGCAUUAAUUGAUACCAUUUUAAAGACAUUAAAAUUUACUAAUGUAACAUUUUCAAUCACUGCCAAAGUAGCUGAUGAAGAUGUAUCUCAACGUUAUGAGAAAGAGAUAAUGGACUUUGGAGCUUCCUCUCCAAUGUUCAACAUCUUAGCUACGCUUGCAAUGCUUAACUUGUUUUGCUUUGCAGGAGUGGUGAAGAAAGUGAUCAUGGAUGAGAACUUUAGGCUUUAUGAGGAAAUGUUUCUGCAACUUCUUCUUUGUGGUGCUUUGGUUCUCAUCAACUUACCCUUGUAUCAAGGCCUUUUCCUAAGGAAGGAUAAGGGCAAGGUGCCAAGUUCUAUCACAAUUAAAUCAUUUUUAUUAGCUCUUCUUGCUUGUACUAGCUUCACAUUCCUGUAUUGAAAUUUCAAUUUCAUGUCCUGUAGUGUAAUAGGUCGGGUUAAAUUUCUGUAAAUUUUUCCUAUCGGAUAAUAAGAGUUUGUUUUUGAGUUGUAGCUUAUUGUUUUCAUUAUGGUGAAUUUUUUUCUCUCUUUUCUUGCUCUUGGACAUAGAUUUUACAAUUGAAACACAAAUCUUGUGUUUUCGUUUCUUUUUUAGCUAAAAUGUAUUUUUCGACUAUGUACAUUAAAUUCGUGUGGUUGUUAUAAUAAUUUUGUAUCAGAG